CAGAAGUCUGUCUCAGGGCACACAAACUUUGCGUUGGUGGUUUGGAUAACUUUUCUGCUUACUACUACAAUCAUUUUUCACACUCUCAUUGUUUUUUUUUCCUUUUUGUUUGGUUUUUUUUUUGUAUUUUUUUAAUUGAACUCUGGGGUCUAUUAGGGCACAACUUGAGUGUGGAAUGGCUGAACUGGUGCGAAUCCGUAAGAAACGGCUGCAGAUCCCCAUCUCUAGGCUGAGGAGCACCCUGAAGCAGCUGGAGGAGACAGAUGUCGACUUUGAAGAAAUCAAAAAGAAUCUGGAUUUCACAGCGUCGCUACUAGAGGCAGUAUACCUCGAUGGGACAAGGCAGUGUCUGGAGUCUGAAGACGAUCUUCAGCAGCUACAGUCAGACGGGGUGCCUUCAGAGGUCACUGACUGGCUGGCGUCCACCUUCACCCAGAGGGUUCGACGGUCUGUACGACGCUCAGAUGAGAAGCCAAAGUUCCGCAGCAUCGUCCAUGCAGUGCAAGCUGGGAUAUUUGUGGAGAGGAUGUUCAAGAGGGCCUACACGGCAGCCAUGCCAGACCAACCUGCAGCCGUCGUAAACUGCCUCAGGGAUGUUGACCGCUGGAGCUUUGACGUGUUUGCUCUGAAUUCAGCCAGCUCCGAUCACGCACUACAGACUCUUUUCUUUGAGCUGAUCACCAGAUAUGAACUCAACAGCCGUUUUAAGAUCCCCAUCUCGUGCUUGACAGAGUUCCUGACUGCAGUGGAGAGAGGAUACUGCAAAUACAACAACCCCUACCACAGCCACGUUCAUGCUGCUGAUGUGACUCAGACACUGCACUGCCUGCUGCUGCGCUCUGGACUCGUGCACUGGCUGACAGAGCUUGAGGUGAUGGCGUCGCUAUUUGCUGCAGCCAUUCAUGACUACGAGCACACGGGAACCACAAACAACUUUCACAUCCACACAAAGUCUGAGUUUGCACUGAUCUACAACGACCGGUCGGUACAGGAAAGCCACCACCUGAGUGCAGCAUUUCGGCUCCUGCAGGACGACCAAAUGAACAUCUUCAUUAAUUUGACACGAGAGGAGUGGAUGGAGCUGCGAUCACUGGUUAUAGAGAUGGUGUUGUCCACAGACAUGUCUUCCCACCUACUCCAAGUCAAAGCCAUGAAAUCCUGUCUACAGCAACAAGAGCGGAUUGACAAGCCCAAGGCACUGUCUUUGUUACUCCACACGGCUGACAUAAGCCAUCCAUCUAAGCCCUGGGCCCUGCACUCUCGCUGGACCAAAGCCCUGAUGGAGGAGUUUUUUAGGCAGGGUGAUAGAGAGGCGGAGCUUGGCCUGCCCUUCUCUCCUCUGUGUGAUCGAAAAAGCACCCUGGUAGCUGAGUCCCAGAUCGGUUUCAUUGACUUCAUUGUGUAUCCUACAUUCUCUCUGCUGACGGACAUGGCUGAAAAGAUUGUUAUUCCUUUGGUGGAGGAGAAUCCAGGGCCACCAGACCCCUGUAACAGGCACAGGUAUACAUACAGACAAGUAAUCUUUGGAAGGAGAGCUCCAGAGGUCUGCAGUGGAGUCUCGCUCACAUCACAGCUGAGCUGGUGAGCUUCCGCUCCACGUGGACGCGACACACCGAAGACAAUAAGCUGAAAUGGAAGGAAAGUGGCGCCAAUGGAUUUUCAGACCCCAGACUGACAAAAGAACAGAGGUCCAGACAAGAGGAGCUGUCAGAAAAAUCCCUGCAGGACCCCACUACAGAUACAAACCAGUAGACAGGACUUCAUUUGCGAUAUGUGCUUUUUUUUAUAGAAUAUCUACAAAGGUUAACUGAGGUUAACUUUGUGUCACUGUUUGUAACAAAACCACAAUGCCUUCUUAUAUUAUGACUGAGAGGCGGAGGAGGGAGCAUGGGAGCGAGCGUAAGGUUAAGAUCAUCUUCCCAAGGUAAGAUGCAGUGUAAUCACGGAAAUAUCCUUGUGUCUUAUUUCAAGUGUAGUAUACUAUGCUAAUUUAAAUGCAAAGUGUACAUGCUGGCCAUGUUAUACGGUGUAGUCCAUGUCAUUAAUUUAAUUUGCCACCUAAACACUUGUAAGGAAUACUUUUAUAGUUUGAACUGUACACAAAUCAUUUAACCAUGCAAUAAACCCUGAAAACAC
Toxotes jaculatrix (banded archerfish) is the source of this 2136-nucleotide RNA transcript. It is a transcript of the gene named calcium/calmodulin-dependent 3',5'-cyclic nucleotide phosphodiesterase 1B-like, with no coding region annotated. The record is from RefSeq and is a predicted model, not a curated record. Lineage: Eukaryota; Metazoa; Chordata; Actinopteri; Toxotidae. The transcript has 14 exons.